Molecule: ribosomal RNA, 303 nt
Filed under: uncultured bacterium
Lineage: Bacteria
Description: bacterial SSU rRNA
Rfam family: Bacterial small subunit ribosomal RNA
Source: RNAcentral
UGGGGAAUAUUGCACAAUGGGGGAAACCCUGAUGCAGCGACGCCGCGUGAGCGAAGAAGUAUUUCGGUAUGUAAAGCUCUAUCAGCAGGGAAGAAAAUGACGGUACCUGACUAAGAAGCUCCGGCUAAAUACGUGCCAGCAGCCGCGGUAAUACGUAUGGAGCAAGCGUUAUCCGGAUUUACUGGGUGUAAAGGGAGCGCAGGCGGCAUGGCAAGUCUGGUGUGAAAGGCCGGGGCUCAACCCCGGGACUGCAUUGGAAACUGCCAGGCUGGAGUGCCGGAGAGGUAAGCGGAAUUCCUAGUG